RNAcentral lists this long non-coding RNA (504 nucleotides) under Mus caroli (Ryukyu mouse). RNAcentral describes it as "lncRNA (MGP_CAROLIEiJ_G0013228.1)". Lineage: Eukaryota; Metazoa; Chordata; Mammalia; Rodentia; Muridae. The record is from RNAcentral.
GCCCCGAAACCCCACCCUAGCAGCUGGCGACUCGAAGACCACGUCCUCCUUCCAGCUCGGCCCUAGCUGAGAUUUUCCGCGGCAAAGCAGGAAGUGCACUGCUCCCGCUCCAUUUCCCAGCUCAGUAACCGGUCGGGAAUGUUUCUUAGAACCCAUACCCCAUCUGUGUUCCCCAGAUGAACUGCACGUUCUCAGUCUAUGAUCCUGUAAUACUUUGUUCCUGGACUGUGGUGAAAGUGAUGAUGACUACACAGUGGGUCAAGCACAGUGAGUUGUUUCGUUGAAUUUGUGUUGGUUUUUGAUUUGCUUUGGUUUUGUAGCAGAGGCAAUAGGUGCCUUUCCACCCAGAAAACUCUGCUCCCAAGAUCCCCUAUCAGGAUUAACUGCAUGGCGCCAGAUUGUUGGUUAGGGCAAGGCAAAUUUUAAUUCAUCUGAGCUACAUGAGAAGAGUUCAAAGAUGGAGCUAACAUUCUAAUAUAAAUAAAAUGCAGUUUUCUCAUUGUG